This 1489-nucleotide ribosomal RNA is filed under the name uncultured bacterium. Its description in RNAcentral is "bacterial SSU rRNA". It matches the Rfam family "Bacterial small subunit ribosomal RNA". The record is from RNAcentral.
CAGAACGAACCUUGGCGGCAGGCUUAACACAUGCAAGUCGAACGGUUGUAGCAAUACAGCAGUGGCAGACGGUUUGAGUAACACGUGGGAACCUUCCUAGGGGUACGGAACAACUCAGGGAAACUUGAGCUAAUACCGUCAACGUCCGUAAGGAGAAAGAUUCAUCGCCCCUAGACGGGCCCGCGUAGGAUUAGGUAGUUGGUGAGGUAACGGCUCACCAAGCCUACGAUCCUUAGCUGAUCUGAGAGGAUGAUCAGCCACACUGGGACUGAGACACGGCCCAGACUCCUACGGGAGGCAGCAGUGGGGAAUCUUGGACAUAUAGGGCGCAAGCCUGAUCCAGCCAUGCCGCGUACGAGGUGAAGAAGGCAAUUCGGGUUGUAAAGCUCUUUUACCAGGGACGAUAAUGACGGUACCUGGAGAAUAAGCCCCGGCAAACUUCGUGCCAGCAGCCGCGGUAAUACGAAGGGGGCUAGCGUUGUUCGGAAUUACUGGGCGUAAAGCGCACGUAGGCGGAUUGUUAAGUCAGAGGUAUAAUCCCGGAGCUCAACUUCGGAACUGCCUUUGAUACUGGCAAUCUCGAGUCCGGAAGAGGUUAUACUAGGGAAUUCCCAGUGUAGUACUGAAAUAACGUAGAUAUUGGGAAGAACACCAGUGGCGAAGGCGGCUAACUGGUCCGGUACUGACGCUGAUAUCAGAAAGCGUGGGGCAUAGAGAUAAACAGGAUUAGAUACCCUGGUAGUCCACGCCGUAAACUAUGGGUGCUAGCCGUCAGGGAAGCUUGCUUUUCAGUGGCAGAUUAUUAAGCACCCCGCCUGGGGAGUACGGUCGCAAGAUUAAAACUCAAAGGAAUUGACGGCAGUACGCACAAGCGGUGGAGCAUGUGGUUUACCAUAGAAGCAACGCGCAGAACCUUACCUACCCUUGACAUGUCUAGUAUGGGUUCCAGAGAUGGGAUUCUUCAGUUCGGCUGGCUAGAACACAGGUGCUGCAUGGCUGUCGUCAGCUCGUGUCGUGAGAUGUUGGGUUAAGUCCCGCAACGAGCACGAUAACCUUUAGUCCCCAUCAUUUAGUUGGGCACUCUAGAGGGCCACAGUGCGGUGAUAAGCCGGAGGAAGGUGGGGAUGACGUCACAGUACCUCAUGGCCCUUACGGGUAGGGCUACACACGUGCUACAAUGGUGGUCCAGUGGGCAGCGACACAGCAGUAUGUGAUGCUAAUCUCAAAAAGCCAUCUCAGUACAGACAGAUUACUCUGCAACUCGAGUACAUGAAGUUGAAUCGCUAGUAAUCGUAGAACAGCAUGCCAGUGGUGAAUACGUUCCCGGGCCUUGUACACAGAUCGCCCGUCACACCAUGGGAGUUGGUUUUACCUGAAGUAUGUGUUCUAACCCGCAAGGGAGGAAGCCGGCCACGGUACAGAUAUUCGACUGGGGUGAAGUCGUAACAAGGUAGCCGUAGGGGAACCUGCGGCUGGAUCACCUCCUUUC